CAGACGUUCAACCAACUGAGCCCCCCAGUCUUUCUGAAAUUGGAAUAUCAAGCAUUCGGUGUGCAUACUUAAUAUGAUACGUUUAAAUUCUUGCAGUAACAGGGGUGCCUGAGUGGCUCAGUCGGGCCUCUUCCUAAACCCAAGAUUGAUGGUAACCUCCUUCUGACAAACUCCUUAAAGAGUGUAAGUUGCAAUUCUGUUUAUGGAUAGACCUGAAUAAUCUCCAGUCACGAGGAUCUUCUACUUUAUAAAAACUCACUUUCCAAAGGUCAGAAGAUGAGACAAGUUUGGUUGUCCAUUUCUCAUAAAAAGAAAAAAUGGUCUAAUAUAUGGAUCUGCAUGGACUCUUGGACAGUGGCUAACAGGAAAUUGAGAACACUCUAUAACAAGGCACCUUCCUUCAUGCCAGAGUCUAACAGAUACACAAUGUGCCCCAGUUGUUGAUACAUACUAAGUGGAUAUUUAAGAAGGUGACUAUGUUGUGACUUCCUGUUUCAGCCUGGAAUUGGACAAAAAUAGCCUAGGAACAAGAUAUUUCAGCCCAAACUGGCAUUUUAAAGAAGUCUUUGCUCUGUUCAAAUCUCGGUUCUUCCACCCAAGCACCGCGUCUCCUACGUAUGGACAAGUUGAGGGCAUCCCUGAGUUCCUGACUCAUUUAGAAGAUAAGUGGCGAUGCAGAAGGCCUGCACCGUCAGGAUCCGCAUUAUUACCGAUUGCCAUAAUAGUGAUUCUGUUCUGCAGUCAGGCAAAUAUUUAGUUUACAUUAUAGUGAAUACAUUGUGGAAACUACUCUGUCUUCUUAAAGAAGCGACAGCAGGAUGUGUUAUUGGUAUUUGCAGUAAUCUAAUUAGUGAAUUUACAUACUGACUACCUCUCCAACAACUUCCUCCUGAAAAGGUUUUCUGCAUACAAAGUGGCUAUACAUCUUGAAGAUGGAACAUAACAGAAUAAAACAACCGGGUACCUUUUCCUUUUGUGAUUUUGAAAAAUCUAAAGACCGUUUCAGGGGGUUCUAAGAAUUUUACUCCCAAUGUCUACGUGCAUCUGAAGCGUAUUAUUUCCGUGAAUGAACUAGAGUAGGUUAUAUGUAAUUAUUAAAGGUCACUCACCUCUCACUGUCAUUUAAAUUGUAAGUAUUACAUUGACACCUUGAGUUCUUUCUUCAGACGUUAAUAUAGCUGGACAAACUCAGUUUUAAACUAUAGAGUGUUAAAUUUUCUUUUCUAGUGACAACCGUCCUUUGGUACAAACUCGAAUUACCUGAAAUUUGGAGCACUCUUAACUUUCAAUU
Molecule: long non-coding RNA, 1291 nt
Organism: Canis lupus familiaris (dog)
Lineage: Eukaryota; Metazoa; Chordata; Mammalia; Carnivora; Canidae
Exons: 6
Source: RefSeq, a predicted model, not a curated record